GAUGAACGCUAGCUACAGGCUUAACACAUGCAAGUCGAGGGGCAGCGGUAUCGAAAGCUUGCUUUCGGUAGCCGGCGACCGGCGCACGGGUGAGUAACGCGUAUCGAACCUGCCUCAUACUCGGGAAUAGCCUUGCGAAAGUAAGAUUAAUGCCCGGUGUUUUCAGAGUCCCGCAUGAGGCUUUGAACAAAGAUUUAUCGGUAUGAGAUGGCGAUGCGUCCCAUCAGCUUGUUGGCGGGGUAACGGCCCACCAAGGCAUCGAUGGGUAGGGGUUCUGGGAGGAAGGUCCCCCACAUUGGAACUGAGACACGGUCCAAACUCCUACGGGAGGCAGCAGUGAGGAAUAUUGGUCAAUGGGCGGAAGCCUGAACCAGCCAAGUAGCGUGCGGGAAGACGGCCCUCCGGGUUGUAAACUGCUUUUAGUUGGGAAUAAAACGGGGCUCAUGAGCCCCCUUGCAUGUACCAUCAGAAAAAGGACCGGCUAAUUCCGUGCCAGCAGCCGCGGUAA
This 508-nucleotide ribosomal RNA is filed under the name uncultured bacterium. RNAcentral's name for it is "partial 16S ribosomal RNA". It matches the Rfam family "Bacterial small subunit ribosomal RNA", at positions 28 to 523 of the family's 1533-position model. The record is from RNAcentral.